UCUAACAUGUGCGCGAGUCAUUGGGACUGCAAGCCUAAAGGCGUAAUGAAAGUAAAGAUCGAUUUAUUGUCGAUUGAGGGAGGAUGAUUCGCGUCACGAUGCGAAUCCGCACUCCCGGGGCGUCUCGAACUCAUUGCGAGUUGAGGCGCACCCAGAGCGUACACGUUGGGACCCGAAAGAUGGUGAACUAUGCCUGGUCAGGACAAAGUCAGGGGAAACCCUGAUGGAGGUCCGUAGCGAUUCUGACGUGCAAAUCGAUCGUCGGAACUGGGUAUAGGGGCGAAAGACUAAUCGAACCAUCUAGUAGCUGGUUCCCUCCGAAGUUUCCCUCAGGAUAGCUGGCGCUCGCUCUCGAAGCGAGUCUCAUCUGGUAAAGCGAAUGAUUAGAGGCCUUGGGGCCGAAACGACCUCAACCUAUUCUCAAACUUUAAAUGGGUGAGAUCUCUGGCUUGCUUAAAUUAUGAAGCCAUGAGAUUUUGUGGAUCAGAGUGCCAAGUGGGCCAAUUU
Molecule: ribosomal RNA, 507 nt
Filed under: Litus cynipseus
Lineage: Eukaryota; Metazoa; Arthropoda; Insecta; Hymenoptera; Mymaridae
Description: partial large subunit ribosomal RNA
Rfam family: Eukaryotic large subunit ribosomal RNA
Source: RNAcentral